AGAUUACACUUCAUCUCAAAGAAUCCAGAACUCGUGAUUUACAAUUGAUUUUCUACAUUUUGAAUCUCUACACUAUGCAGCAGCUUGCCUUCUCUCCAGGAUCUAGAAAUGAGGAUCCUGAGCCUUGCACGUGACCACCAGACCAGCACAACCAUUUCACGCUUGGCACUGAAGAAGGGACCAAUCCUGCAGUAUAACGUAUAUUUCCUAAACCACCUAAGGCUAAAGCCUUUUGGCUGAGGAAGACUUUUGGGGAAGACUUUUGGGUGUGCUGAAACCUGUCUGAUACCUUGCCUUCAAGCUUCCAGUUUCCCAGCAGUGUCCUUGCACAAUGUGAAGGCACUUGUCCUCAUUCAGGGCUGUGUACAUGCUAUAUCGAAAAACUUAACAUGUUAUGUAUGCAAAUGAAUCAAAACAUAUACAUUGAUGCACUGAAAUUUGGGAGUGUCAUCUUUCUCAGCACCUCGUAGACUGGCCUGGUUGAACAGAGCCCCAAAUCCUCGACUUUCCUAAGAGCAGGUGAUAUAUUAAGACAAGAGCAUAUUAUGCAGUAAGACAUUAACAAUGAAUCUGAAAAGGUAUUGUGAAUGUUAAAAUUGUACUGACUAAAAUAUACUGAGGUUAAAAUACAGGGUAACUUUACAAAUCACUAUUAAUUUCUUUGGCUUUCAUUGCAAUAACAUUGAUUUAAUUCAUUAGAAUCCUUUCUAAAUCUAUAUUUCAGUUUUAGAGUUGUCAGUUUCUGUUAAUGACAAUUUAGCCCAUCUGUUCUAACAUGAAAAUGAGGCUUCAUGCAGUAGACAUGAUAGAUCUCUAAUAGUUGAAGAAGUAAGAAUCUUAAAGGUAUUUCAUUUGGAUUGUAUCCACUUUGAUGCAAUUCACCCUUGAAAUCAAGCCUAGUACUAAAAACUUUUAACUGUGUAAUCAAAAAAACAAAAAUGUCAUAUCUUGUCAUUUAGGCCACUGUCUAUUUCAUAAUUUACAUCAAAAAUUUCAAAACAUUCCCACUCAUUCUCUCUCUAAUGACAGAGCCAUAAUUUUGGGUGUCAGCAUAUCAGAAUUCCACUGGAUGUGAUUAGAAUAAGAAUUAGUUUCUUUAAUUUGGCCAUUCAAACGGUAAUAUUACUACAGUAAGUCAUUCUACUGAACAAGCCAGUGCCGCCAAGCUAGGUUACAACUUAGGUUUCAAUACAGGUUUAAAACUUCAGUUCCUUGCACAGGUCAAUCUUCUGAAGGGGUAAUUUUUCAAAGCAGUGUGUGAGUCUUAAGCACACAAAUCCAGUUAGCAAAUAACAAGAUUAUGUUCUGUGCACUGCUUUGAAAAUUUAUCCCUAAUAUCCUAGAGAUAGGAGCACAGUUAUUGCACACAUUACAUAUGAGGUAUAAUUUAAAUUGUUUUUUAGUAAGCAGUUCCCUGCAUUUGUGUAAUGCAGUGCUAUUCUGGGGAAAAAUGCUCAGCUAAUUAUUCAGUCUAGAAAAAUAAACACAUCCAUUAAAGGCUAGGCUACAUAUUAAUGCACGACCUUUGCAACCGUAGUGUUUAUUUGCAAAUCUUCUAGAAAAUUUUGUAUCCAUUAAAUAUAUAUGGAAUGGGAUAUUGUCUUUAUUGCUGAAAGUUACCAAAUUCACAUUGGCUUAAACUCAGCAAAAUGCAGUGCUCCUUUGUAACAAAGGCGAUGGUUCCUACAGUGUGCUCCAUUACUGCUUUUUGUUUCAGACUUCUCUCGAAUUUCAGAAUACAGCUAGGAAAAUCAGACUAAAUAAGCUCCCACGGGACCAGAUUUCUAAUUUCUAAAUACAAACUAUUGAAAAUUUAGCUUUUCAAGGGUAAUACUUCUAACAAAUUAAAAAUCAACAAAAAUAUUAUGCUUCUAUGUUACCUGUUCAAGUGUAUAGAAUGUACAAAAACUUUAAUCAAAUACUCAGGUUUGCUCAGUUUUACAUUGUGUUAGUUUAAUAGUUUCUAUUCUGCUGUUUAUAUUAAUGACAUAUUCUCAUCUAAAUAUAUUGCAAUGCUGAAAAGCCAUCAAAACAUUUCUAAGGUUGAAUGAGUGCAGUUGCAUUCAUGAUUUUUUUAAUAAAAUGAUCUCUUUCUAUUGAA
Molecule: long non-coding RNA, 2101 nt
Organism: Anas platyrhynchos (mallard)
Lineage: Eukaryota; Metazoa; Chordata; Aves; Anseriformes; Anatidae
Source: RefSeq, a predicted model, not a curated record